Molecule: ribosomal RNA, 301 nt
Filed under: uncultured bacterium
Lineage: Bacteria
Description: partial 16S ribosomal RNA
Rfam family: Bacterial small subunit ribosomal RNA
Source: RNAcentral
CAGUCGCCGCGGUAAUACAGAGGGUGCGAGCGUUAAUCGGAUUUACUGGGCGUAAAGCGUGCGCAGGCGGUUUGUUAAGACAGAUGUGAAAUCCCCGGGCUCAACCUGGGAACUGCAUUUGUGACUGGCAAGCUAGAGUCUGGCAGAGGGGGGUGGAAUUCCGCGUGUAGCAGUGAAAUGCGUAGAUAUGCGGAGGAACACCGAUGGCGAAGGCAGCCCCCUGGGCCAACACUGACGCUCAUGCACGAAAGCGUGGGGAGCAAACAGGAUUAGAUACCCCUGUAGUCCCUGUCUCUUAUAC